AAAGACGAGAUAUCCCUGAGGAAAAAAGUGACUUUAGACCAGCAAGACGUCUCUAGGCACGCACAGCGUCUGGCACUAGUGCGCAUGCGUCACUUGAAUCUCCACGCAUGCGCAGACUACACCCGGAGGUGUACUUUCGUUACUGGCACGAACUUUUACUAAAUACACGUCCAUGGUUUCUGAUGACUGUCACAGGCUAAAAAGACAUCAUAUUUGAAAGAGGAAUAUCUGCAUUUUUGUUAAAGGCAGCACCUUACACUGUUUUGGCAUCAUCAGUUGCAAAGAUAUUGCUUCGGAUUUGUCUUAAUAUUUAUAUUUCUACUGACACCACAGUAAUUAUGGGUUUCAGGUCACCACAACUUCUGUUGUAUUGUCUGCUUGGAAUGUGCAUGGCAUUUUUCAUUUUGACAAUAUAUUUAUCCUACAGAUGUGUAGAAAUUUCAAAGCUGAGGAAUCCAUAUAUUCUUGACAAUAUGGCUACUGAAGUAAAUGGUAUUUAUAACCAUCUUUCCAAAGGAGACAGGCAUAAUGAGUUGAUGAGACAUUUGCCACCUGUCACAGUGCAUUAUGUUUGGUGUCAUAAUGGUCACUUUGAGUAUAAGCAUUAUCUCAGUUUGCUCAGCAUUGCUAAAAUACUUCAACCAGAUCAAAUUAUAUUCCACUUCCUUGAAAUGCCUUUAAGUGAUAGAAAAGGGUACUUAACAUGGUUUGAAGAUAUUCAAAGAGAAGUUCCAAUGCUGAGUUUAAAACAGCUGAAAGAUCAUAAGCAUUGUGACAAAUUUUUUAAAGGAGUUCACAAAAAUGAAGAUUUUUCAUACACUGGUGGAAUUUUUAUUAUGGGUGAUAUUAUAUUGGCAAAUUUAUCAAGAGAAGUUUUUUAUCAUCUAAAUAAUAAUUUGGACAUGAAUGUCUACAAUGUCUGUAAUACAAAUUCUGUUGUAUCAUGUGCACAACAAAACAGAAUAUCCACCCAGUUAUUUCUUGUGCCUGAAGCUGAACAAUACAAUCUUUCAGCAGUGGAUAAAAGGAUAUUACUUCAUUGUCCAUCACUGAUGCAUGUAACAAAACCCAGUGAACAUUUUUGUAUUCAUACAAGUCAGCAUUUAGUCCCGUACGAAAUUUGGCAUCAAAACACAAGUUUUCACAACUUUGCUCGUCAGAUUGUAUACAAUACACAGACUGUAUUGGUUCCUUUUUCAGAAACAAACAUUCCAAUGAAAAAAAUUGUUCACAUUUUGAAUUUAUAUGGUACUUCAGUAGACCAUUUAUGUUUAUUAAGCAUAAAAAGUGCCUUUAUUAGAGGAGCAGUGGAUCAUGUAUUUCUGCAUACUCAUAAAUUUGUAAAGGAUCCUCUAUGGCAUGAACUUCGUCAAAACUAUAGUGUCAGUUAUGUACAUGCUCCUGAGCUUGAUUCAUCACAGCAUAGUAAAGUGUUGUAUGGUAUGCACACUCUGGCACAGUAUGGUGGAAUGAUCAUGACGUGUAAUAUCAUAUUCCAGAAACAUAGUGGUUUCUUGUUUGAUUAUCCAGCUGUUGCUACUGUUCAAAAGAGUAAGAAUAGACUAGCUCAUCUUUUGGAUUUUGGCAUUUUCUUUGCAAAGACAGAUUCAUUGUUUCUUAAAAUGCUUAUUCCUGUUCUUAAACAGCUUGAUGAUACAUCUUCACCACUUGAUGCUGGAGCUAUUGGCUAUCAUGUUUACGAGCAGUAUCCUUCAGCUUUGUACUUAGAAACCAAUCUCUUUGAACAUCAAAUUUGCAAUAAAGAUGUUUGUCACAGUACUUUAGAAGAGACAAAUACAGGGAAUAGCUUUUUUACAAAAUUGUCGUGGGCAUCUGAUACUAAAGACAUCAGUUUACACCAACUUGUAUCACUGAAAACACCAUCAAAAUCAGUUCAUCAAAUACUUGGAAAUGUAAAGUUGUAGGAACAUAAACAUAAUAUCACUCUUACUAGCUUUUAAUUUGACCAGUGGGUAAAUGCUGAUAAGGUCCAUUGAUUUAAUGAUUACAAGAAUUUGUUAUAUGUGAAGUCAAUACAUUUUCUAAACUUAUACAAAUCAAUCAUAAAGGUGAAACUUUGUGGGAAGUCACUCAAUAGAGACCCUGUGGAGAGAGAGAUGGCAAACUAAAGAAUUCUAUAGCCAUAGGAGCAGUGAAUGUUGGUGGCCCAGCAUGGCGUGUGGAAGGUGGAACCUGACCCUUUACCUUCAUUGAUAAAUCAAGUACACAUUUCUGUAAUGCUGCUGCUUGGUGUCAAGUAAAAUCAUUUACAUGACAGCUUUGAGUGUGGCAGCUAUGGAUUCAUCCUAUACUUGUUUGAAAGAGGCUAAGCUGCAUCUUAAUAUUAAACAUAACAGCCAUGCCAUUGUACUUUUCUGGAGCCUGGGUUGUUGGGGUGUGCUAAUGGUAAUCAAGAAAUCUUUCUGGCCUUCUUUGGCCCCAUGACCUGGCAUGCCACCUUGUCUUACAGUUUGUACUGAAUGUGAGAAUGGACAUUAGUCGGCUGUACUUUCUGAAGAGCAACUAACUCAUAAAAAACUGUCGUAGCUACUUGCUAAAAUCAAGGACCCCCCCCCCCCAACUAACCAGAAAGGUAAAACCGCUAACUAGGAAAGAAGCAAGACAGAGAAUAACUAGGAGUUCCUGUAGGAAAAAUGAUCUGACUCAUGAAGACGACCUUAACCUGAGUGAAACAAGUAGCGACAGUUCACUAUGCACAGUGAAAGAACAGAAAUGAAAAAAAAAAAAACCUGACGUCCGAGACUAGAUGAUGAAAUACAACAGUGAAAACGAUAGCGUUGCUAGCCACAUGACAAUGACCAGAUUGAGUGAGGACUCAGACUAUGGAUUUCAAACAAUCAUCAGCAGGAAUAGACCCCAGUUAGUCUUCCCAGUAAAAACAGUCCCAAAAGAAAAAGAGAAUAAAAGCAUUGCAACUGUAGGCCCCUCACGACUGUGCAGAGAAACCAACAAAUAGGAAAUUUAGAGGAAGUAAGACCCUCUAUCAAAUCCAACAAACUUAUCAUAGGAUACAAGGACCCAGCGCAACAAAGAAAUGCCACAUAAAGAUAAAUUUCUAGCCCUUCUACAUACCUGGUCAAGAACAAAGCAGAAAAAAAAACAAAACAGAAAAAGGGGCUAGGUGUCAUAAAUGUGCCCUCAGAAGAAAGCCUGGAAGAUAUAAAUGAGAUGCUGGUGCAAGCUGCAGGAUCAAAAUCAGGGCUGUAAAAAGAUUCAAGAUACGAACGAAUGGAAAAUUAAUCCCUACCAGAGCGAUACUUAUGCUAUACAAAUUUAUAGACAGUGAGACCCCCACAACUAUCAAAAUAGGGUUCCAAAAUCACAGUGAGUUGGCAGCACUUUACCUUCCAAAAUCAACAACAAUGAGGGAGGCUUUUGGAUUUUUGAAGUGAGAGUGUAGAGGAGAGGGUAGGCCAGCUGCCAAGUGAAGCUCUGAAUAAAAUCUACAGUUAUGUGGCAAA
RNAcentral lists this unclassified non-coding RNA (3482 nucleotides) under Pomacea canaliculata. RNAcentral's name for it is "uncharacterized LOC112569764, transcript variant X1". The record is from RNAcentral. Lineage: Eukaryota; Metazoa; Mollusca; Gastropoda; Architaenioglossa; Ampullariidae.